UAGAUUUGGGGGGUGGUGGCUGCGGUAGUAGGGAUGGGGUGAGCGUGGUCCGUGAACGUUGGGCGUAAAGGGCGUGUAGGCGGUCCGGUAAUCCCGUGGUGAAAUGGGGUGGCUCAACCCUCGAAUGCCGGUGGUUACUGUCGGGCUAGAGUGCGGAAGAGGCGAGUGGAAUUCAUUGUUUAGCGGUGAAAUGCGCAGAGAUCAGGAGGAACACCAAUUGCGAAGGCAGCUCGCUGGGACGUAACUGACGCUGAGACGCGAAAGCGUGGGGAGCAAACAGGAUUAGAUACCCCGGUAGUC
Molecule: ribosomal RNA, 300 nt
Filed under: uncultured Halogranum sp.
Lineage: Archaea; Methanobacteriati; Methanobacteriota; Halobacteria; Halobacteriales; Haloferacaceae
Description: bacterial SSU rRNA
Rfam family: Bacterial small subunit ribosomal RNA
Source: RNAcentral